Molecule: long non-coding RNA, 6556 nt
Filed under: Sus scrofa (pig)
Lineage: Eukaryota; Metazoa; Chordata; Mammalia; Artiodactyla; Suidae
Description: lncRNA (ENSSSCG00035008226.1)
Source: RNAcentral
UUUUUUUUUUUUUUUGGUCUUUUUAGGGCAGCACCUAUGGCAUAUGAAAGUUCCCAGGCUAGGCAUCAAAUCAGAGCUGCAGCUGCCAGUCAAUGCCACAGCCACAGAAAUGCAGGAUCCAAGCCCGAGCCACCUCUGGGACUGACACCACAGCUCAUGGCAAUGCCGGAUCCUUAACUGAGAAGGGCCAGGGAUCAAACCCGCAUCCUUACAAUUAACGGCCUGUAUAUUUAUCAUAAUUUGGUCAUUUAUUAACUAGAUGAUCUUGAUAAGGUUGUUUAAUUUUUCCACGUCUCAGUCCUCACGGACACUAGUUGGGUUCAUUACCACUGAGCCACACCGGGAAUUAAGGCAAGUGCUAUUUUUGAACUCUUCUUCACCUUUUCAGCUUCAAUCUUUCAACAAUAAUCUUCCUUCUGGUUUUCCUCCUUUUAUAAGUUCUAUGUUCAUCCCCGAAAUGAACUUAUUCUUUAAGUUUUUGCUCCUGACCUUUUUUCUUCUCACUGCACCUGAUCUUUUUCGGCAGAAUCACUUACAAUUACUGCUGUGAUUCGGAUAAUUCUCAAAUCUAUGUCUGCCAGCCCACUUACACCUCAUCUUUAUUUCUAACACUUUGAAAACAUUUUCUCAUAAAUAGUCACAGAAUUAAACUUAUAAUUUUACCCACACAUCUUACCUUCAUCCGUCCGCUGCUUUCCCAAGUGUCUCCUCUUUCUGUAUUCCCUGCCUUGGUCAAAAGCACCAACUUUCAUCUCAGAUGCCCAAGUUAGGAACAACAGGAUCCAAUUUAACGCCCAAGUGUCAUCUGAGUUUGUUCUCCCCCACUGAGAAGUCAGUUCUGCAUUCCUCCGUUCUCCCAUUUCAAGUUCCCAGGCUUGUUUACCAGACUCCCUGCCUGUGUCGCCCUAAAGGUACGCGCUGGUUAUUUUCUACUCCCCAGUUUUAUAACAUUUGACAAAUUCCCGUUUUUCUCAAAAUAAAGUCUACAUUAUUAGAGUAUCACUCAAGGUCUGCCACCAUCUUCUAUCUCCAAUUUCAUCUGCCAGGCAGCCCACACCAGGGUCCCUUCAGGAUGCUCUGGCAGGAGUGUUGUACAUUGACUUGCCUUGUGAAUUUGACUUUUUCUUUGUCUCACCUUGGCACAUCCUCUAUCCACCUGCAAGGGGAGAGCUCCCUAUUCAUUCCUUAAUGAACUGCUCGAAUGUCUAGUUUUCAGUAAACGUCUCAUCCAGCCCAGAUCAAUCACACAGAUUUGGGGUUUUGUCAUUUCCCAGAUUUUUAUACUGUCUUUUAACACUACAUUGCAAUCUCAUUGAGGGCAGAAAUGAUAUCCUAUAUGACUUUAUCUCCCCUGUCCCCCACCCCAAUAUCUAUCACAGUGUCUGUCACAAUCAUAACUUUGUGUCACCAUGAACACUCGUCUACAUCACACAAAGCUAUCCCAUAUCAGACCUACAUCUCCUUUAAACACAAAGGUUUUACUAAUCCUUGUCUAGCUAUAAAAUGAUAGUCCUUCCAAAAGGACUCACUGCAAUCUAGAAAAAUAGAUACGAAUAACAGAAACAUUAAAUAUUUUUUAAAAAAUAAGUAUCGUUUGUCUGACCUACUUUUUUUUAAUACUUAAUGUAAGUCAGUGAGUCAGAGAAAGACAAAUAUAUGAGAUAAUCAAUAGGUGGAAUCUAAUAAAAAUGAUACAAAAGAACUUACACAACAGAAACAGAAGCAAAGAUUUUGAAACCAAAUAUACGGUUUCCAAAGGGGAAACAUGGGGGCAGGGGGAGGGAUAAAUGGGGAGGUUGGGAUUCACACACUCGUGCACCGCUGUAUAUAAAAGAGAUAAGCAACAAGGCCCUACUGUACAGCACAGGGAAAUCUACUCUUGCUCUGUAAUAACCUAUAUGGGAAAAGUAUCUGAAAAAAGAAUGGAUAUAUGUAUAUGUAUAACUGACUCACCUUGCUGUACACCUGAAAGUAAUCCAAUAUUGUAAGUCAACUACACUCCAAUAAAAUUUUUUAAAAAGGGAGUUCCUGUCAUGGCUCAGCGGUUAACGAAUCUGACUAGCAUCCAAGAAGAUGCAGGUUCGAUCCCUGACCUCGCUCAGUGGGUUAAGGAUCUGGCGAUGCCAUGAGCUGUGGUGUAGGUCGCAGACAGGGCUCGGAUCCCGCCUUGCUGUGGCUGUGGCGGAGGCCAGCAAGCAGCGACAGCACCGAUUCAACUCCUAGUCAGAAUCUCCAUAUGCCGUGGGUGCAGCCCUGAAAAGCAAAAAAAAAUUUAAAAAGUAAGAGCCAUCAGUGAAAGAGUUGUGCAAAUCUAGGAUUCAUCCCAUUGUUUUCUUGGAGUAACAGGUGGGUGCUUUCUUGUCUUGGGUGCCAUUCAAUCAAGCAUACACACCAUCUGGCGUCUUGUCUGCUGAGCCCCAUCAGCUGCCUGGCUUUGUUUUACAUCAUAUACUGCAUGGACCACGUCCUCCGCUCACAGACGCUUCCAGGUUCCUUUCUGUGAAUUGCACUCACAAGGGAAACUCUGCACACGACACCCUCCAUUGCUGACUGAGCAACAGCCAGUCUUCCUUCCUGAGAGUUUACGGCGACCAACAUCCUCGCUCAUGUUUGUUAACUGUAAUUUUGUCAUGCUUCCUCGUGGCAGAUCUUCCUAUUUCAAAGAUUCGUUUUCAUCAAAAAUGGAUGCUGUGACUUUCAUACCACCACUUUUACCCUCAGGAAUGUUGGACGGUUUUACUUCUUUACCAAAACAAAUGUAUUUUCUAGUCAUUCAAUGAGAGCUCUAAGAAAUGAAGCUUUAUUACCAUGUGGCGGGGUGCCCCUUAAGAAAUGGUGAACAUGAAACAAAUAUAAUUCUAAGCAUUCAAAGUCUCAAUAUCUUCCUUCUACUCUGACAUGAAUGGUGGUUCAAUUUCGUGUCAGAGAAAAUGAUUGAAUGAUUUAUGUGAUGAAGGGAAUAUUACAAGUGCCUAAUUAAUACCUACUCUCUAUUUUCCUGGGAUUGAAAACAGUGUCUGUCUAUCCAUCAAUCCACCCAUCUAUCGUGCUUUGUCAUCCUCCAAUAGCUAUACUGAUUGAUCCCUUCCUAUGUUCCAGGUCCCUUUCCUAUGUAAAGGUUUUUCUUAACAUUGCACAGUUUCAUCCGUAAAGUAGCUCAAGGGGUCAGCUAGUAUAUAUCCCAUUUUACAGAUAAGAAAACUGAGGCUUAGACAAGUUAAGAAAGCUGCUAUGACCACACAGUAAACAUGUCUUCAUGCUGGGAUUCUCAGCUUGGGUUUUACUGGCUCUGAAAGCGUGCUCUAUUCUACUGCCUUCUAAUCAUAGCACACCUCUGUCCUCCGCAAGCGGAAUAUUAAAAAAGAAAACCUCCUCCUCUGUCAUUAAGUGUAUUUUUAAGAACGGUCUCACUUUUGGGGUUGACUUAAAAAUGACAUUCUCGAGACGACUGACUAUGCACGUCUCUCCUUCACUGACUCUCUCCUCAUCCCCCUUCAUUUCCUACCCUCCCUCCCCUGGUUCCACCUUGAAUGGUUAUGCACCCAUGGGGGGAGCUGUCAGAGUCGAGUCCUGAACCCUGGAAGAUCCAGGAGUGGGCGCUUCCUGGGUGUUCUUACUCUCCGGAGGUCCUUUGUUUGCUAGAGACAAAAAUCUUCCACGAUGAUACAUCUAGCUCUGUUUUGCCCAUUUCAUUUGUAUCACACAACCAACAAUUGUAUUAUAACUAAUGUUUAUUUAGCACUGAUGACGCGUAGGGCUCCGUGCAGGAAUUCCACCUGACUUUCACAGCUUCAACCCCAGGACAAGCUAAUGGCUCAGGAACGACCACUAUGCCCAUUUCACAGAUGAAGGGAGCAUGAUGAUGAUAUAAAGAGAUAUGAACUGGCAUUUUGUGGUCUCUGAUUCUACAGUUGUGAUUAACUGACAGCAGGUGUCUUUUCCUGAAAACACCCUGCCCUGUGGGCGGGCCUGGGGGACUCCACUCCUCCAGUUUUCCUUCUUUCUCUCCAGUCGUUCCUUCUCAGCCUCCCUUUCGGCAGUCUCUUUUUAUCCAAUCUCAGGGCAAUAAAAUAGACUUUGCCCUUCCCACACCUACAUAUGAGGUCGCUAAUGGCCAUGAUAGGAGGGUGAGGGCUAAGGAGAAAAGGAGCUUUAUUUCCCAAUUCACCAGAUGAACUUCAGCUUUGGACAGUGGACAGACCAGAGGUCAACUCAGGUUGAAUCAUCUGAGUGUGCUGUGACUGGCUUUAUCACAGAAGAAAAUACUGAAUAGCCUUCAGUCAUUCAAUAAAGAUUUAUUCAUGAGUUCUAGCCAUUGCACUCAUCAAUGAUAAACCAAAAUUACUGAGCAUAAACUCUGUCUUUAAUACACUCACAACCUAACAGGUAAACACACAAUUACAAAUCAAAAUAGAAAGAAAGACAAAAAAGAGUCCUAGAGCUCUAGACCCUAGAGCUCUUAAAAAAAAAAAAAAAAAAAAAAAAAAAAAGUACACCAAGAGCACAAAGGAAAGAGUAGUUAAUUUACACAGACUCCUGGGUUCCAGCCUGCCCAGCCCACUGUUGGGGAGUAGUUCUUGGAAGGCUUCAUGGAGGAGGUGACUCAAGAGUUUCUUGCAGACAGUAGCAGGUGGAAGGGUUUAGGGGCAUUCAAGAAGGGAGUGUGCAGGCACUUUGUUAAUAUUUCUAUUAUUGUGAUCGUUCGUACCGAAAGAACUUGUAUUGGUUAUUCCCCAAAGCCCCUACCUUCUAAGUUCUGCAUGAGCAGAUAGGAACACAGUUUUUACUUAAAAUCCAUGUAAUACUUGCAGAGAACCUUAAAGACGCAUGCAGUAAUAUAAGCUGAAGCUUAUCAAAUCUAUAGUUAGAGAUGGCUAAAGCCAGCUUUUAUAAAUAUCUCAUUAAUAUUCAAACCAAAUGAGGGGGGAAGAAAGGCUCUCUAUUCACCUAGUGCAGAAACAGACGUUAAGAGUUUAAGUGACUUACUCAUGAUCUUAGAGGAGUUAAGUGGGUAGAAUCCGGCCUUGGGUAUAUAGAGACUCGAAAUAUAUUCUUCCCCUUAAGUUAUUUUCCUGCCUCUUUUCUCCUAUGAUAUAUUUUGAUGUCAGCCAGUCUGAUGAACCAAGUUGCCACUAAAUGUCUCUUUCUCCCUCUCUCAGAUGCCAGUUUAAUAUGUUGUGGAAUAUACGAAUCAUUUUUUAAAGGCUUGAAUUGUAAAUUUAUGGGGAAAGUGGCAGAUUGCAAAUCAACAGCUUAUCAAGGUCACAUAAAGUAAGCACCCUGCUCUGCAUUUUUAUCUGUUUAUUUCUUUUAAAAGUCAUCUUCCUUGCCUUUUUGGCACACUGUGAACCUAAAAAACAUCCUUCGUGAACAGCAGUGCCAGGGUGAGCUAGCUAUGAGAAUGAGCUAGAAAUGCUUAGAAAUGAGAAAAAGGAAUUUAAAGCCAGAGCAGAAGGCAGAGUUGGAGCUGAUGAGGGAGGCAUCCCAGAGACAGAGGUAAAGAACUCUAAGACAUGAUGCUGGAGGCUUAUCAGCUAGACACCCGGAUUACGCGGCUUUAGUUAUGUUGCUUCUUAAGUAUUCAACAACUGACAGUCCAGCCAAAGAAAUGGCCUUCUCCCUGCUAAGAGUCCAGUGGCUCUUUCAUGACUCGGGAGAACCUAUCAGAGAAUGAACAAGGAGUAAGAUCUCCUCCGUCCCAUGAGGUGAAGAGGACAGACUGAAUUCAGAUACCCAAGUCCAUCUCUUUCUGGCUGUAAUUCACUGAGUGAAUGAUCUAAGAUCUACCUAACUCUGUUUCUCCACCUGCAAAUUAGUAAGUAUCAGAGUCAUUUCUCUCCCAGAGACAUCAUACUCGUGCUUGGUACCGGCAUCUAACAGGCUUAUCAGGAUCAACAAAACUCUGCAUCUUCCCGCUCAUGCCAGCUCUUCUUCAGUCCUCCCCACCUUAGAAAGCGACAACUCCAUCCCUCAAGUUGCUCAAACUGAAACUCAGCUUUCUCAUCCUUAGGCAAAUCCUAUGGUCUCUACCUUCAAACCAUGGCUGACCACCUCCAUGCCGGUCCAAGGCACUGGUAUAGAUCUGCGGAAUUCUCACCACGGCCUCCCGACCACCGCUCUCACUUCUGCUCUUGCCCCUUCAGCAGCCAGAGUGACUCCUCCAAACUCUUUUUCUUUUGGCUUUUUUUUUUUUUUUUUUUUUUUUUUGGCUUUUUAUGGCGGCACCCACGGCAUGUGGAGGUUCCCAGGCUAGGGGUCUAAUUGGAGCUGUUGCUGCUGGCCUACGCCACAGCCACAGCCACACAAGAUCUGAGCCAUGUCUGUGACCUCCACCACAGCUCACAGCAACACUGGAUCCUUAACCCACUGAGCAAGGCCAGGAAUCAAACCUGCAACCUCAUGGUUCCUAAUCAGAUUUGUUUCCGCUGCAUCACAACAGGAACUCCCCCUCCAAACUCUUCAAAUCACUGCUCAGCGAAAGCCCUUUAGAGGCUCCAUCUCAUUUCAAAGAACAGUCCAAGUCUGUCUAACUGACUCAAAGGUCCCGUCCUCUCUG